Molecule: transfer RNA, 64 nt
Filed under: Abachrysa eureka
Lineage: Eukaryota; Metazoa; Arthropoda; Insecta; Neuroptera; Chrysopidae
Description: tRNA-Arg
Source: RNAcentral
AAGUAUGAAGCAAAUUUUGCAAUUAGUUUCGACCUAAUAGUUAGAUAAAUCUUAUCCUUACUUU